RNAcentral lists this ribosomal RNA (225 nucleotides) under Klebsiella pneumoniae. RNAcentral describes it as "partial 23S ribosomal RNA". It matches the Rfam family "Bacterial large subunit ribosomal RNA", at positions 2706 to 2925 of the family's 2925-position model. The record is from RNAcentral. Lineage: Bacteria; Pseudomonadati; Pseudomonadota; Gammaproteobacteria; Enterobacterales; Enterobacteriaceae.
UCACUGGUGUUCGGGUUGUCAUGCCAAUGGCACUGCCCGGUAGCUAAAUGCGGAAGAGAUAAGUGCUGAAAGCAUCUAAGCACGAAACUUGCCCCGAGAUGAGUUCUCCCUGAGACUUUAAGUCUCCUGAAGGAACGUUAAAGACGAUGACGUUGAUAGGCCGGGUGUGUAAGCGCAGCGAUGCGUUGAGCUAACCGGUACUAAUGAACCGUGAGGCUUAACCUU